RNAcentral lists this transfer RNA (69 nucleotides) under Nasutitermitinae sp. Its description in RNAcentral is "tRNA-Cys". The record is from RNAcentral. Lineage: Eukaryota; Metazoa; Arthropoda; Insecta; Blattodea; Termitidae. RNAcentral also lists the same sequence under 1 other name.
AGCCUUGUAUUCAUUUUGUGAUUAUAGAAUGCAAUUCUGUAGGGGUAAGAUUGAAACUUACCAAGGCCU